Marmota monax (woodchuck) is the source of this 3635-nucleotide long non-coding RNA. RefSeq lists it as uncharacterized. The transcript has 5 exons. The record is from RefSeq and is a predicted model, not a curated record. NCBI's taxonomy places the organism in Eukaryota, Metazoa, Chordata, Mammalia, Rodentia, Sciuridae.
UUGUUGUUGUUGUUUUUAGUUAGCAAUUUUCUUUCUUUCUUUCUCUCCCCCCUUUCUUUUCUUCUUUUCUUUUUUUCCCAUCUGAAUUACAGUGCUCACAGCUGCACAGCUUCAAAAACUGUACCUCCUCCCUGCUGGGCUGCAGGCAGGGAAUUACUCUCCUGGGAACACUGACAGUUUAGGAUGCAGGAACCUGCGCACCUUGCUGAAUAUCUCAGAAGCAUUGAUGUUCCAGUUCUGUGCAGCGUCUGCAUUUUCAGUAUCUUCUUCUCAUCAAACACAAGAUCCCCUGAUGCAGAGAUUUCAUCUUUCAACAUUUUAGUCUUUUUUUUGUAGCUCAAAGAGGAGAAGUCCUCAAAGUUUGACAGUUAUCCCAAUUGAUUGUAAGACACCACCACACUACAGUGAGGAAAUCAGAAUUAUUUCAACCAAAUUAUUUCUAGUCCCCACAAUUCCUCACAUCUUCAUGUGAUGGUGAAUCGUUGAACAUUUUAAAUCAAUAAUGCUCACCUUGGAGGAGUCUGAAGCGUGGCCAUGCUCAUGCUCAUAGACUGGAUCCCUAUCCUUCUCUACUUCCUGUUGCCAUAGUUGGGACCUAGUGUCCUAGGCCAGCGUGACUCAUGGUCCAGUUUUCCCCAAAGUUUAAUGUAAAAAUAUCUUGGGGGAAAAUUUUUUCAGAUUUAUAAACCUCAUCCUCAUGUAUUCUGAUUCAUAUGGCGCCUCAGAAUGGACUUUAAAAAUAGUAACUCCCAGGACCUGGGGACUUAUUGUGGAAUUCCAGUCCAUUAUGUCUGGGUUUAUUUUCUCUACACUCACUGAAGAUGGAGAUUUCUGGAUCCAGAAAAAGAAUGUGGCCAUCCAUCUGAUGGAGUAAGAACUCAACAUCUAAAUUAAUCCAGGAGCUUCUGGAUUUCAACAGACUUGUCUUUAAAUUCUGAUUCAGUUACUAGCUAUGUGACCUGGGUGGAGUUUGAAAACCUUCCUCAUCUGCAGAAUGGGAUUAAUAGUAGUACCUCUUUAUUGACUGGAGAAAAGCUACAAGGAAUUGAUGCCAUGUCAAGCAAUUGUCCAGAACAGGAGCGUAUGUUAAGCACUCAUUACUGCUAUUGUGUGUUGCACUGUUGCACGGAAGGCGAGAGACUUCUGGAGAAUCUUCCCAGCUCUAGAAUUUCAUUGUGACUUUUCUAGAUUUGGUUGCCUGGUCAAUUUAAGCUACACAAUUAAUACUAAUGAAAAACUGGGGGACAUGGAAAAAUGGGGGCAAGAAGUAGUAUCCUUCUUCCUUGCUUAAUAUUGGAACCCAUUGAGGAAAAAGACCAAGAGAUUUGGGAAAUGGUUCCAUUGGUGAGCAAGGACACACAUUUGUUUAACAGCUGGACAAAGAUAGAGGCGCCAAGUCUAGUUCUAUUUUGACUGACGAAAUCAAGAGUAAAGACUGAGGCAUGGGGCUGUGGCUUCUUCAUGGAGAACCUCAGAAAGAGCUGUGUUUAUCCUGUCAGCUGGCCUCAGGCACUGGCCUGCCUCCUGAGGAGCAAAGAAAAUGUAUUCCCACCUGUCAGCUUGCUCCCAAGGGUAGAUGAAGGGGGUCUUCAGGCACAUCUCAAACUCACCAGUCUGUCCUCCACCUGGAGAGAACCAUCAAAAAAAGUGUAAAAGUGAGUGUUCCCCUGAUAGGAUUAUCUACCUCAGAGUCUAUAGAGUUUAAGAAAUAAAUGACCCAGAUUUGUCACUUCCUGAAGACACAGUUUAUGGAAGAUAAGUUUAGACCGAGGUAUUUUAUUUUACUUGUAGGUUAAACUAGUUCAUAUCAAUAAACUCAGUCUUUUCUCCUAAGUCCUCAGAGUCCUGGUGACAUAAUAUCCUAUGCAGAGGUGGGAAUUCAGCAGAGAAUCUUUCCUGGGCUGUUGCCCUCCCAUCUCCCUAUAGCUUCUUUCCUUCCUUUCUAUUUAUGACCCCGAUUAUGGAUCUUACCUGUACUGCUCCUAAGUCUUCAUACAGAAGUAACUGUUGGCACGGCCUCAGCUGCCAGACUGGUGAUAAAGCAGCUGAUGUUUGAUUUCUCAUGUGCUUAAACUCUGAGCAGAGGUAAAUUGUUUUAUGACAAGACUUGGCACCUCCAUCUUUGUCCAGCUGUUAAACAAAUGUGUGUCCUUGGUCACCAAUGGAACCAGACUAGAGGGGUGUAGAUAGCUGAAUGUGUGCCAUAAUUACUACUGUUAAAACAACUCGAAGCACAUGUCCUACUGACAGGGGUGUGGGGAUGGCAGGCGGCACAUGCGCUGCACAGACGUUCGGAGGUAUGUUUUCAAAUUGGGCUUUGCAGGAGGUCCCAGCCACACACACACACUUUCAGAAUCUCAGCUUGUGCGUGAGGAGAGGAGUCGCAUAGCACAUGCACGGUCCCUUCUUUUCUGUGCUGUCACUUCAAGGGUCUUCUUCAGAUCAGAAGCCUUUUCCUCUGUGCUGAGGCUUUUCUUAAACUACUUUUAUUACAGUACCUGUAUCAUUGCUUUUUAAUUUUUAAAACCCAUUUUGAGUUUCUCACUUGGCUGCGAACCCUGCAGGUUGGUUGAAGCCACCUUGUUCAUAGUUGCUUCAGGAGCACUAAAUACAUGGACCCAUGGGAAGAGCUCAGAGAAUAUUUUAGGAUUUUCUUUUUCUUUUUCUUUCUUUUUGGUUCCAGGAUUGAACCCAGUAGCACUUAACUACUGGGCCAUAUCCCCAGCCCUUUUUUAAAAAAAAUUUAUUAAGAGACAGGGUCUUGCUGAGUUGCUGAGGGCCUGGCUAAGUUACUGAGGCUGGCUUUGAACUUGUGAUCCUCUUGCCUCAGCCUCCCCAAUUACUGGUAUUACAGGUGUGAGCCACUAAGCCUGGCUAUUUUAGGUCUUUCUUAGGAGGUACUUCCUAAGUCACGUGACUUUGUUUAAUUUCUAGCCACGAUCUGUAGACUCAGAUACAGUUUUCAAGGAUCUCCAAGAUCUCUGAGAAGUUGACUGCAUUACUAUCUUUUUUUGGGACAUGUCUACUGCCAAUACACUGGGAUACCUGGGCUCCCAAGUUCUCAACACCACAAUGUAAAGAAUCAUGUUUCAUCUACACCUUGAACUCUGCUGUGUCAGUCUAAUCCGUUCUUUUUUGUGCAAGGAAUGUCAACAUUGGAACCUAUACAUAAAAUUUCAGGCACAACUAAAACUCAGUAAUUAAGAUAAAUAAUAUUUCAACCCAAUAUUUUGAAAAUUCUAAACGAAUGCAGACUUUUUGCUUAUCAAAAUUUUAAAUGAAGACAGUUUCAGUAUUCUCAAUUUUAUUUUCUGCCUCAAAAUGGCUCUUCUUUAUUGAUUCACUUGCUUCACCCUACUUCUGGCCUUGAAGAAGACAGAACUGAGGAGAAGUCUCCUUGGCUGUGACUUUGCUGAUUUUAUUUUUUUAUCCCCUUCCUUUUUUGUGUGUGUUUGAGAUGGAGGGUGGGAGAUGGUACAUGUUUCAGGUAGAACCGAAAGGUAAAUGCACAAUCAUAAAAAAUAGAACUUGUUGUCAGAUCUGAAGUGCCUGUAUUAGGAAAGAUUUAGUAGGGAAAAUAUUGCAUAUUUAAUAACUGAAUAACAAAAGACUGAAAUAAAUAAAAUUUAAUAACA